GACGAACGCUGGCGGCGCGCUUAACACAUGCAAGUCGAGCGAUGAAACACCUUCGGGUGUGAAUUAGCGGCGAACGGGUGAGGAACACGUGAAGAAUCUGCCUUCAACUCUGGGAUAACUCCGGGAAACCGGGGCUAAUACCGGAUAUGAGCCUUGAUCGCAUGAUCGGGGCUGGAAAGUUUUUCGGUUGAAGAUGACUUCGCGGCCUAUCAGCUUGUUGGUGAGGUAAUGGCUCACCAAGGCGACGACGGGUAGCCGGCCUGAGAGGGCGACCGGCCACACUGGGACUGAGACACGGCCCAGACUCCUACGGGAGGCAGCAGUGGGGAAUAUUGGGCAAUGGAGGAAACUCUGACCCAGCGACGCCGCGUGAGGGAUGAAGGCCUUCGGGUUGUAAACCUCUUUCAGUAGGGAAGAAGCGAAAGUGACGGUACCUACAGAAGAAGCACCGGCUAACUAUGUGCCAGCAGCCGCGGUAAUACAUAGGGUGCAAGCGUUGUCCGGAAUUAUUGGGCGUAAAGAGCUCGUAGGUGGUUCGAUACGUCGGAUGUGAAAAUCAGGGGCUCAACCCCUGACCUGCAUCCGAUACGGUCGAGCUAGAGUUUGGUAGGGGAGACUGGAAUUCCUGGUGUAGCGGUGGAAUGCGCAGAUAUCAGGAGGAACACCGAUGGCGAAGGCAGGUCUCUGGGCCAAUACUGACACUGAGGAGCGAAAGCGUGGGGAGCGAACAGGAUUAGAUACCCUGGUAGUCCACGCCGUAAACGGUGGGCGCUAGUUGUGCGAACCUUCCACGGUUUGUGCGACGCAGCUAACGCAUUAAGCGCCCCGCCUGGGGAGUACGAUCGCAAGAUUA
RNAcentral lists this ribosomal RNA (853 nucleotides) under uncultured bacterium. RNAcentral describes it as "bacterial SSU rRNA". It matches the Rfam family "Bacterial small subunit ribosomal RNA", at positions 28 to 896 of the family's 1533-position model. The record is from RNAcentral.